UUGGGGUAGAAGUCAGUAUAA
This 21-nucleotide microRNA is filed under the name Tetranychus urticae (two-spotted spider mite). RNAcentral describes it as "tur-miR-5734-3p". Lineage: Eukaryota; Metazoa; Arthropoda; Arachnida; Trombidiformes; Tetranychidae. The record is from miRBase by way of RNAcentral.